GGUAGAACGAGUGGCGCCGCGCUUAUCUGAUGGAAUUUUGGAUGCUUAUUUAGCAAUUGAGCUAGCAUUGGAUUCUGUAGUUAAGAUAUUUACUGUUUCCAGCAGUCCUAAUUACUUCCUUCCAUGGCAGAACAAGUCUCAGCGCGAAACGACGGGCUCUGGUUUUGUUAUUCGGGGAAAGAGAAUCCUGACAAAUGCUCAUGUUGUGGCUGAUCAUACAUUUGUACUUGUACGAAAGCAUGGUUCUCCAACCAAGUAUAGAGCAACAGUUCAGGCUGUUGGUCAUGAAUGCGACUUGGCUAUUCUGGUGGUAGAAAGUGAAGAAUUCUGGGAGGGCAUGAACUCUUUGGAGCUUGGUGAAGUUCCAUUUCUCCAAGAAGCUGUGUCUGUUGUUGGUUAUCCCCAAGGGGGAGACAAUAUAUCUGUCACAAAAGGUGUCGUCUCAAGGGUUGAACCUACACAAUAUGUACAUGGGGCUAGUCAACUAUUGGCAAUACAAAUUGAUGCGGCUAUAAAUCCAGGGAAUAGUGGAGGACCAGCAAUCAUGGGUGACAAAGUGGCUGGAGUUGCUUUCCAAAACCUUUCGGGUGCAGAGAAUAUUGGCUACAUUAUUCCUGUUCCUGUGAUAAAGCAUUUUAUAUCUGGCGUAGAAGAACGUGGUGAUUACUUUGGAUUUUGCUCUCUGGGCUUGUCAUGCCAACCUACUGAAAAUGCACAAAUUCGAGAAUACUUCCAAAUGCAGUCAAAAAUGACAGGUGUACUUGUUAGCCGAAUCAAUCCUCUUUCUGAUGCUUCUAGAGUAUUAAAGAAAGACGAUAUAGUCCUCUCAUUUGAUGGUGUCCCCAUAGCAAGUGAUGGAACAGUUCCUUUCCGAAACAGAGAGAGAAUCUCAUUUGACCAUCUCGUUUCUAUGAAGAAACCAAAUGAAACUGCUGAACUUGAAGUCUUGAGGGAUGGUGAAGUGCAUGACUUCAAGAUCACACUUCAUCCUUUGCAACCUCUUGUUCCAGUUCAUCAAUUUGACAAGCUUCCAAGUUAUUUCAUUUUUGCUGGUCUCGUCUUUAUUCCAUUAACUCAACCAUUCCUUCACGAGUAUGGAGAAGAAUGGUAUAAUACCUCACCCCGCCGGUUGUGUGAACGGGCACUUCGGGAACUACCUAAGAAACCUGGCGAACAAUUCGUCAUCCUUUCACAGGUGUUGAUGGAUGAUAUUAAUGCUGGUUAUGAGCGCCUUGCUGAGUUACAGGUGAAGAAGGUUAACGGUGUAGAAGUUCUGAAUCUGAAACAU
Molecule: unclassified non-coding RNA, 1288 nt
Filed under: Hevea brasiliensis (rubber tree)
Lineage: Eukaryota; Viridiplantae; Streptophyta; Magnoliopsida; Malpighiales; Euphorbiaceae
Source: RNAcentral